UACGUAGGUGGCAAGCGUUGUCCGGAAUCACUGGGCGUAAAGCGCGCGUAGGCGGCGGUGCUGGCCCGGCGUGAAAGCCCCCGGCUCAACCGGGGAGGGUCGUCGGGGACCGCACCGCUUGAGGGCGGUAGGGGCUGGUGGAAUGCCUGGUGUAGUGGUGAAAUGCGUAGAGAUCAGGCGGAACACCCGUGGCGAAGGCGGCCAGCUGGGCCGUCCCUGACGCUGAGGCGCGAAAGCUAGGGGAGCAAACGGG
This 253-nucleotide ribosomal RNA is filed under the name uncultured bacterium. RNAcentral describes it as "partial 16S ribosomal RNA". It matches the Rfam family "Bacterial small subunit ribosomal RNA", at positions 524 to 776 of the family's 1533-position model. The record is from RNAcentral.